Molecule: ribosomal RNA, 395 nt
Filed under: uncultured bacterium
Lineage: Bacteria
Description: bacterial SSU rRNA
Rfam family: Bacterial small subunit ribosomal RNA
Source: RNAcentral
UGCGUGGGGGAACCCUGACCGCCGUUCCGCGUGUGCGAUGAAGGCCUUCGGGUUGUAAAGCACUUUUGGCAGGAAAGAAAUCGCACAAAUUAAUACUUUGUGUGGAUGACGGUACCUGCAGAAUAAGCACCGGCUAACUACGUGCCAGCAGCCGCGGUAAUACGUAGGGUGCAAGCGUUAAUCGGAAUUACUGGGCGUAAAGCGUGCGCAGGCGGUUCGGAAAGAAAGGUGUGAAAUCCCAGGGCUUAACCUUGGAACUGCACUUUUAACUCCCGAGCUAGAGUAUGUCAGAGGGGGGUGGAAUUCCGCGUGUAGCAGUGAAAUGCGUAGAUAUGCGGAGGAACACCGAUGGCGAAGGCAGCCCCCUGGGAUGAUACUGACGCUCAUGCACGAAA